RNAcentral lists this ribosomal RNA (362 nucleotides) under Triticum aestivum (bread wheat). RNAcentral's name for it is "partial small subunit ribosomal RNA". Lineage: Eukaryota; Viridiplantae; Streptophyta; Magnoliopsida; Poales; Poaceae. The record is from RNAcentral.
UCUUUUUCCGUACAGGUGUUCACCCGUCUUCAUGUAGAUUAUACUAUAGAAGAAGAUACUUAAUACUAGAACGAAGUAGAUGAUACUAACUCUAAAAUGUCCUGGUUCGAUAUCGAUGAGUUGUUAGAGUUUGUCGUCACGGUCGAGGAGAUGGUCUUUCGGUCAAGUAACGUUUGACGUCUCUACGGGACGGUCGAGGUUCUUCGGUGUGAUGACGAUGUGAUCCAAACUUCUCUUCCUUCUUUCACUUUUUUUGAUUCCUCUUGUUUCGGGGUUGUUGAGUCUUCACUUCUCGAUGUUUCUACAAUACCUUUCUUCGUCACAUCCUACAAAAAGAAAACGAAUCCUUUGUUCCACCAAAC